UGGGGAAUCUUGGACAAUGGGCGCAAGCCUGAUCCAGCCAUGCCGCGUGAGUGACGAAGGUCUUCGGAUUGUAAAGCUCUUUUUGGCGGGGACGAUAAUGACGGUACCCGCAGAAUAAGCCCCGGCUAACUUCGUGCCAGCAGCCGCGGUAAUACGAAGGGGGCUAGCGUUGUUCGGAAUUACUGGGCGUAAAGCGCACGUAGGCGGAUCUAUAAGUCAGGGGUGAAAUCCCGGGACUCAACCUCGGAACUGCCUUUGAUACUGUAGAUCUCGAGUCCGGAAGAGGUGAGUGGAAUUCCUAGUGUAGAGGUGAAAUUCGUAGAUAUUAGGAAGAACACCAGUGGCGAAGGCGGCUCACUGGUCCGGUACUGACGCUGAGGUGCGAAAGCGUGGGGAGCAAACAGGAUUAGAUACCCUAGUAGUCCCUGAGCGGGCUGGCAAGGCGCAU
This 448-nucleotide ribosomal RNA is filed under the name uncultured bacterium. RNAcentral describes it as "bacterial SSU rRNA". It matches the Rfam family "Bacterial small subunit ribosomal RNA", at positions 355 to 825 of the family's 1533-position model. The record is from RNAcentral.